RNAcentral lists this transfer RNA (94 nucleotides) under Burkholderia stagnalis. RNAcentral describes it as "tRNA-Thr". The record is from RNAcentral. Lineage: Bacteria; Pseudomonadati; Pseudomonadota; Betaproteobacteria; Burkholderiales; Burkholderiaceae.
CUGAUCGUCGCGGAGCUGGGCGUCGAGCCGGCGCUGGUCGCGCUGAACGACGCACUCGUGGCGGCAUUGCGGGAUCUCGGCCUGCCGACCGAUC